This 539-nucleotide ribosomal RNA is filed under the name Acidovorax soli. RNAcentral describes it as "bacterial SSU rRNA". It matches the Rfam family "Bacterial small subunit ribosomal RNA", at positions 373 to 905 of the family's 1533-position model. The record is from RNAcentral. Lineage: Bacteria; Pseudomonadati; Pseudomonadota; Betaproteobacteria; Burkholderiales; Comamonadaceae.
GGGCGCAAGCCUGAUCCAGCCAUGCCGCGUGCAGGAUGAAGGCCUUCGGGUUGUAAACUGCUUUUGUACGGAACGAAAAGACUCCUUCUAAUAAAGGGGGUCCAUGACGGUACCGUAAGAAUAAGCACCGGCUAACUACGUGCCAGCAGCCGCGGUAAUACGUAGGGUGCAAGCGUUAAUCGGAAUUACUGGGCGUAAAGCGUGCGCAGGCGGUUAUGUAAGACAGAUGUGAAAUCCCCGGGCUCAACCUGGGAACUGCAUUUGUGACUGCAUAGCUAGAGUACGGCAGAGGGGGAUGGAAUUCCGCGUGUAGCAGUGAAAUGCGUAGAUAUGCGGAGGAACACCGAUGGCGAAGGCAAUCCCCUGGGCCUGUACUGACGCUCAUGCACGAAAGCGUGGGGAGCAAACAGGAUUAGAUACCCUGGUAGUCCACGCCCUAAACGAUGUCAACUGGUUGUUGGGUCUUCACUGACUCAGUAACGAAGCUAACGCGUGAAGUUGACCGCCUGGGGAGUACGGCCGCAAGGUUGAAACUCAAA